This 253-nucleotide ribosomal RNA is filed under the name uncultured bacterium. RNAcentral's name for it is "partial 16S ribosomal RNA". It matches the Rfam family "Bacterial small subunit ribosomal RNA", at positions 524 to 776 of the family's 1533-position model. The record is from RNAcentral.
UACGGAGGAUGCAAGCGUUAUCCGGAAUGAUUGGGCGUAAAGCGUCCGCAGGUGGUUGUGUGUGUCUAUUGUCAAAGCAUCAUGCUUAACAUGAUAAAGGCAGUAGAAACUACACGACUAGAGUGCGUUCGGGGCAGAGGGAAUUCCUGGUGUAGCGGCGAAAUGCGUAGAGAGCAGGAAGAACACAGGUGGCGAAAGCGCUCUGCUAGGCCGCAACUGACACUGAGGGACGAAAGCUAGGGGAGCGAAUGGG